Molecule: ribosomal RNA, 273 nt
Filed under: uncultured Thermoactinomycetaceae bacterium
Lineage: Bacteria; Bacillati; Bacillota; Bacilli; Caryophanales; Thermoactinomycetaceae
Description: partial 16S ribosomal RNA
Rfam family: Bacterial small subunit ribosomal RNA
Source: RNAcentral
UACGUAGGGGGCGAGCGUUGUCCGGAAUUAUUGGGCGUAAAGCGCGCGCAGGCGGCCGGUUAAGUCAGAUGUGGAAGGCUGCGGCUCAACCGCAGAGCGGCAUCUGAAACUGGCCGGCUUGAGUGCAGGAGAGGGGAGCGGAAUUCCCGGUGUAGCGGUGGAAUGCGUAGAGAUCGGGAGGAACACCAGUGGCGAAGGCGGCUCUCUGGCCUGUAACUGACGCUGAGGCGCGAAAGCGUGGGGAGCGAACAGGAUUAGAAACCCUUGUAGUCC